Molecule: ribosomal RNA, 213 nt
Filed under: uncultured bacterium
Lineage: Bacteria
Description: partial 16S ribosomal RNA
Rfam family: Bacterial small subunit ribosomal RNA
Source: RNAcentral
UACGAAGGGGGCUAGCGUUGCUCGGAAUUACUGGGCGUAAAGGGCGCGUAGGCGGACAGUUUAAGUCAGAGGUGAAAGCCCAGGGCUCAACCCUGGAAUAGCCUUUGAUACUGGCUGUCUUGAGUGCGGGAGAGGUGUGUGGAACUCCGGAGUGUAGAGGUGAAAUUCGUAGAUAUUCGCAGGAACACCAGUGGCGAAGGCGGACUUGACUGG